RNAcentral lists this transfer RNA (90 nucleotides) under Pseudomonadota bacterium. RNAcentral describes it as "tRNA-Ser". It matches the Rfam family "tRNA". Rfam says of the family: Transfer RNA (tRNA) molecules are approximately 80 nucleotides in length. Lineage: Bacteria; Pseudomonadati; Pseudomonadota. RNAcentral also lists the same sequence under 1 other name. The record is from RNAcentral.
GGAGAGAUGGCCGAGUGGCUGAAGGCACACGACUGGAAAUCGUGUAACGGGGAAACUCGUUCGAGGGUUCGAAUCCCUCUCUCUCCGCCA